Molecule: ribosomal RNA, 645 nt
Filed under: uncultured bacterium
Lineage: Bacteria
Description: bacterial SSU rRNA
Rfam family: Bacterial small subunit ribosomal RNA
Source: RNAcentral
GCUAUGCUACCGCUUUUGGAUGGCCCCGCGGCGCAUUAGCUAGUUGGUGGGGUAAAGGCUUACCAAGGCAAUGAUGCGUAGCCGAACUGAGAGGUUGAUCGGCCACAUUGGGACUGAGACACGGCCCAAACUCCUACGGGAGGCAGCAGUAGGGAAUCUUCCACAAUGGGCGAAAGCCUGAUGGAGCAACGCCGCGUGGGUGAAGAAGGUCUUCGGAUCGUAAAACCCUGUUGUUAGAGAAGAAAGUGCGUGAGAGUAACUGUUCACGUUUCGACGGUAUCUAACCAGAAAGCCACGGCUAACUACGUGCCAGCAGCCGCGGUAAUACGUAGGUGGCAAGCGUUAUCCGGAUUUAUUGGGCGUAAAGGGAACGCAGGCGGUCUUUUAAGUCUGAUGUGAAAGCCUUCGGCUUAACCGGAGUAGUGCAUUGGAAACUGGGAGACUUGAGUGCAGAAGAGGAGAGUGGAACUCCAUGUGUAGCGGUGAAAUGCGUAGAUAUAUGGAAGAACACCAGUGGCGAAAGCGGCUCUCUGGUCUGUAACUGACGCUGAGGUUCGAAAGCGUGGGUAGCAAACAGGAUUAGAUACCCUGGUAGUCCACGCCGUAAACGAUGAAUGCUAAGUGUUGGAGGGUUUCCGCCCUUCA